Long non-coding RNA from Lathyrus oleraceus (garden pea), 2290 nucleotides. RefSeq lists it as uncharacterized. The record is from RefSeq and is a predicted model, not a curated record. NCBI's taxonomy places the organism in Eukaryota, Viridiplantae, Streptophyta, Magnoliopsida, Fabales, Fabaceae. The transcript is spliced from 6 exons.
UGAUAAGACCGAAAAACUUAUGAAUUCUGCACGAUACAGACCAACGGUGGCCUUUGGGAAUUACAAAAGUUUUAAAUAUAUCCUAAAGCAAUAAAUGGUAAUGAAGGUCCAACAAUAUAUUCAAUGGUCAUAAAUGAGAAAAACUGAAAAGAAACAACAAUUCUCUCUUCUCACGGUCCGAUUCCCUUUAUUAUUCACUUUUUUCGAAAAUCAUCUUCUUUUUUUCUCAAAAUAAAUUUCUCUCUUCAUCCUUACAUAGAUCUACCAUUGAAUUAGAAACCAGAAAAUAAACAAACAUCGGUCAUCCCUCAAUAACAAAUAAACAUAACCUCGAAUUGAAAUUUGGACAACGAUUUAAUCAACCAAACAAAAUCCAACAGUGAAGACAAUGAGAAAGUGUACCGAUUUAAAGCUUUCGUCUGUCCAGAUCCCAACGAUCCUUCAAGCAGUUCUUUACACGAUUCACGAUCGUGGGUGCUCACCGAGGGGUUCAAUCCAACUACCUCAAAGUUUUAGCGAGAAACUCUGAAUAGUUUUCAUGAUUUGGACUUUAAGGAAUUCAGGUAAGGCUUUUUGGCAGAGUAACAGUAGGGGUCCCCUUUUUGCAAUGAUCAAUGGUCUCUUAUAUAGAGAGGAGAUAAAAUGGUCCCUCCUACAUCCGCUGGCAGGAGGGAAGCGCGUCAGUUCGUUAGAGUAAGAUCCUCCCCCGGAUUUGGUGUGGUCCAAAAUUAAUGUGGUAAGCACGAGUUUUGUCGGUAGUGAAAUCCCUCCAUGAUGCGUGGCCCCUUUGUUGAGUUUCUCUUGGAUUGUUACUGCUGUAAGACAGAUGUGCUGUUUCCAAGAGUGCACCAUUGAAUGCUGAAACCAUUUUCACAGUUCUUGCAACAUUGAGGAACAUGGAAGAACCUGUUAGAAUGAUCCCUGAGGCUCUAUCCGUUAAUAUUCAAGUUAAGGUUUCCUUCGACCGUCUCAAUAACUUUUUGCUUGAUGAAGAACUAAACAAAGAUGAUAGUGAAAGAAACUUCAAGCAAUGUUCUGUUAAUGCUGUGGAAAUUCAAGAUGGCAACUUCAUUUGGAUCGUGAAUUUGUGUCUCCAACUUUAACAUAUGUAAAUUUAGAAAUCAAACGGGGACAGAAAAUAGCAGUUUAUGGACCAGUUGGUGCUGGAAAAUCGUCACUUUUGUAAUUCCUAAGAUUUCUGGAACAGUGCCAGUCUUGCUUAUGUUUUCUAAAUCUUCAUGGAUACAAAGUGGAACAGUUCAAGCUAAUAUACUCUUUGGCAAGCCAAUGGACAAAACAAGAUAUGAGAAAGCAAUUAAAGCAAGUGCCUUAGAUAAGGAUAUCAAUGAGUUUAGCCAUGGAGAUCUUACAGAAAUUGGUCAGAGAGGGAUAAACAUGAGUGGAGGACAAAAGCAAAGGAUUCAACUAGCUAGAGCAGUCUACAAUGAUGCAAAUAUCUACCUUCUUGACGUUCCUUUCAGUGCAAUUGACGCACAUACAGUUGACUGCGCUUUUGGGAUUAAGAGCUUCUACUGCUUUCUUCUCAAGCUUCACUGCUUUUCUUUGAUUCAAAUCCUCCAUGAUUUUACUAAUAUUUUCUCUCUUAUGUAGGCUUCAUCAGAUUUGAGCAUUUUGGAUUUCGAUAUACCUUAUUCCAUUACCUUUGUAGCAUCAAUAUCAAUUGAAAUUUUGGUGGUUAUUUCUAUAAUGGCUUCGUUUGUUGCCUCACCUUAUUGCCUAUUGAUGGGAACCAAUGGCAAUAUUAUGGGAUUAAAGGCUGCAACCUUUGUUGAUGAUUUGGACUACUUGCUACAAACUGAUAUGCUAACAUUGCAGACUUGAAUUUUUACUCGAUGCGAGUUUUGUUCAGAUUCUGGCUUGCUGUAGCAUGUUUGUGGAUAUUACAUUGUUGCCGACUGCAUUACUUCAUGGUUUUGUGAGGCACUGUAUGAUGAUGGUGAGCUUUGAUGGAUUGGUGCAAGCCUGUUUUGGUAUGGUUCUACAGUAGUGUAUACAUGUAGUGGACAAUGGUGGAUGGUCAAAAGUUACAUGGCAUCGAAAUUGGAUUUGGGGAGCAACAUGUAAAAGUGGCUCACUUCAAGAUCAAGGAUCAAAGAUUGGAUAUCAGAUUAGAAUUAGGAUGGGGAAUUUAUGGAUUUAGAAGAAAAUAGGGGUUAAGUCGACUUUGGUCAAAGUUGACCAAAAAGUCAAUUGUUGACCAAAGUCAACAUUUGGUCAACGUAUCAAAUUUUGUAUUUUUGUGAUGUUAUGAACAUUAUAAUGGAUUAUA